Molecule: ribosomal RNA, 1243 nt
Filed under: metagenome
Description: SSU rRNA
Rfam family: Eukaryotic small subunit ribosomal RNA
Source: RNAcentral
CCUGGUUGAUCCUGCCAGUAGUCAUAUGCUUGUCUCAAAGAUUAAGCCAUGCAUGUCUAAGUUCAAGCGAAAAUAAAGUGAAACCGCGAAUGGCUCAUUACAUCAGCUAUGGUUCCUUAGAUCGCACUUACUACUUGGAUAACUGUGGUAAUUCUAGAGCUAAUACAUGCGCUGGGCCCCAACCCUCGUGGAAGGGGCGCUUUUAUUAGAUCAAAGCCAAUCGGGCCUUCGGGCUCGUUAACUUGGUGACUCUGAAUAACUUUGCUGAUCGCACGGUCUCGCACCGGCGACGUAUCUUUCAAGUGUCUGCCUUAUCAACUGUCGAUGGUAGGUUAUGCGCCUACCAUGGUGGUAACGGGUAACGGGGAAUUAGGGUUCGAUUCCGGAGAGGGAGCCUGAGAAACGGCUACCACAUCCAAGGAAGGCAGCAGGCGCGCAAAUUACCCACUCCCAGCUCGGGGAGGUAGUGACGAAAAAUAACGAUACGGAACUCUUAUGAGGCUCCGUAAUCGGAAUGAGUACACUUUAAAUCCUUUAACGAGGAUCUAUUGGAGGGCAAGUCUGGUGCCAGCAGCCGCGGUAAUUCCAGCUCCAAUAGCGUAUAUUAAUGUUGUUGCGGUUAAAAAGCUCGUAGUUGGAUCUCGUUUUCGGGCGAGCGGUGCGCCUUGCGGCGUCUACUGUUUGCCCGGACGAUUUUGCUGGUUCGUUCCUGGUUCUCUUAACCGAGUGCCAGGAGUGGCCAGCACGUUUACUUUGAAAAAAUUGGAGUGCUCAAAGCAGGCGCUACAGCCUGAACAUUAGUGCAUGGAAUAAUGGAAUAGGACCUCGGUUCUAUUUCGUUGGCUUUCGGAGUCGAGGUAAUGAUUAAUAGGGACAGACGGGGGCAUUCGUACUGCGACGUUAGAGGUGAAAUUCUUGGAUCGUCGCAAGACGAACUACUGCGAAAGCAUUUGCCAAGAAUGUUUUCAUUAAUCAAGAACGAAAGUUAGAGGUUCGAAGGCGAUCAGAUACCGCCCUAGUUCUAACCAUAAACGAUGUCGACUGGCGAUCCGCUAUCGUUAACUGAAAGACUUAGCGGGCAGCCUCCGGGAAACCAAAGUGUUUGGAUUCUGGGGGGAGUAUGACUGCAAAAUUGAAACUUAAAAGAAUUGACGGAAGGGCACCACCAGGAGUGGAGCCUGCGGCUUAAUUUGACUCAACACGGGAAAUCUCACCAGGCCCGGACACCGGUAGGAUUGACGAA